UACGGGGGGAGCAAGCGUUGUCCGGAAUUAUUGGGCGUAAAGAGCUCGUAGGCGGUCUGUCGCGUCGGUCGUGAAAACUUGGGGCUUAACCCUGAGCUUGCGGUCGAUACGGGCAUGACUGGAGUUCGGCAGGGGAGACUGGAAUUCCUGGUGUAGCGGUGAAAUGCGCAGAUAUCAGGAGGAACACCGGUGGCGAAGGCGGGUCUCUGGGCCGAUACUGACGCUGAGGAGCGAAAGCGUGGGGAGCGAACAGG
Molecule: ribosomal RNA, 254 nt
Filed under: uncultured bacterium
Lineage: Bacteria
Description: partial 16S ribosomal RNA
Rfam family: Bacterial small subunit ribosomal RNA
Source: RNAcentral